This is a non-coding RNA of Pseudonaja textilis, 245 nucleotides long. The record is from RefSeq and is a predicted model, not a curated record. Lineage: Eukaryota; Metazoa; Chordata; Lepidosauria; Squamata; Elapidae.
AUUGUCAUUGCACCUUGUACAACGAAAUCAAACACCAUCUUCAGUGUACAUCAUGACCAUGAAAAUAAACACAAGCACACUUCUUUCACACUCCACUUUGAAUUGAAACCCACCGACACUGCACCAACAGUGCACUAUACAGUAGAAUUCAAUAGAGUUACUGCCCUGGGAUAGAAGCUGUUUUUCAGCCUAUUUGUCUUUUUUUUAAUUAUCCUGUACCGUCUUCCAGAUGCCUCGGUGAUGCA